GAUGAACGCUGGCGGCGUGCCUAAUACAUGCAAGUCGAGCGAACAGACCAGGAGCUUGCUCCUCUGACGUUAGCGGCGGACGGGUGAGUAACACGUGGAUAACCUACCUAUAAGACUGGGAUAACUUCGGGAAACCGGAGCUAAUACCGGAUAAUAUAUUGAACCGCAUGGUUCAAUAGUUAAAUACGGUUUUGCUGUCACUUAUAGAUGGAUCCGCGCCGCAUUAGCUAUUUGGUAAGGUAACGGCUUACCAAGGCAACGAUGCGUAGCCGACCUGAGAGGGUGAUGGGCCACACGGGAACUGAGACACGGUCCAGACUCCUACGGGAGGCAGCAGUAGGGAAUCUUCCGCAAUGGGCGAAAGCCUGACGGAGCAACGCCGCGUGAGUGAUGAAGGUCUUCGGAUCGUAAAACUCUGUUAUUAGGGAAGAACAAAUGUGUAAGUAACUAUGCACGUCUUGACGGUACCUAAUCAGAAAGCCACGGCUAACUACGUG
RNAcentral lists this ribosomal RNA (497 nucleotides) under uncultured bacterium. RNAcentral's name for it is "partial 16S ribosomal RNA". It matches the Rfam family "Bacterial small subunit ribosomal RNA", at positions 28 to 507 of the family's 1533-position model. The record is from RNAcentral.